RNAcentral lists this ribosomal RNA (143 nucleotides) under uncultured eukaryote. RNAcentral describes it as "partial 18S ribosomal RNA". It matches the Rfam family "Eukaryotic small subunit ribosomal RNA", at positions 1299 to 1458 of the family's 1831-position model. The record is from RNAcentral.
UGGUGGAGCGAUUUGUCUGGUCAAUUCCGAUAACGAACGUGACUCUAGCCUACUAAGUAGUUCGGGGACCCCCACAAAGGGGCCCCGCCUCAACUUCUUAGAGGGACAGGUGGCGUUUAGCCACACGAGAUUGAGCAAUAACA